GGACUACUAGGGUAUCUAAUCCUGUUCGCUCCCCACGCUUUCGCGUCUCAGCGUCAGUACCGUACUAGAGAACCGCCUUAGCCACGGGUGUUCUUCCUGAUAUCUGCGCAUUUCACCGCUACACCAGGAAUUCCAUUCUCCUCUUCCGGACUCUAGCUGGAUGGUUUCCACCGGCGUCUCGAGGUUGAGCCUCGAGUUUUCACAGCAGACCUAUCCAGCCGCCUACACGCUCUUUACGCCCAAUAAAUCCGGACAACGCUUGCCCCCUACGUAUUACCGCGGCGGCUGGCAC
Molecule: ribosomal RNA, 292 nt
Filed under: uncultured bacterium
Lineage: Bacteria
Description: partial 16S ribosomal RNA
Source: RNAcentral